Long non-coding RNA from Hippocampus comes (tiger tail seahorse), 395 nucleotides. RefSeq lists it as uncharacterized. The transcript is spliced from 2 exons. The record is from RefSeq and is a predicted model, not a curated record. NCBI's taxonomy places the organism in Eukaryota, Metazoa, Chordata, Actinopteri, Syngnathiformes, Syngnathidae.
UGAACUGCGGUACUCUUCUCCGUUUGUUGUUCCAGUACUUGAAACCGAGAUAACCAGGCUGUUGGACAAACAGGGAUUAUACUUAUUUGACAUCUACACCCCAGAAGUGCUUCCUCUGGAUGGAUUUGUGAUCAUACAGAUGGACUUUGGUUUUCCUCAUCACCUCCUUGUUGACUUCCUCAAGAUGACACUUCAGCAAACAGGCGGUCUGCAACAAUAAAGCCUCGAGGCACUUUCUCCCUAACCCCCAUUUCACAAGUAACUGGGUAAUUUAUAUGCAGUAUUGUUCAUUUUUUGGGUGCGAGGUUGUUAUUAUAAUUCCCCCAAAAAUCUUUAAUUAAGCAAUGUAAGAAAUAUCAAGAAGUUUUGAAAUGAGCUAAAUUCAAUCAGAAUGA